Sciurus carolinensis (gray squirrel) is the source of this 1374-nucleotide long non-coding RNA. RefSeq lists it as uncharacterized. The transcript is spliced from 4 exons. Lineage: Eukaryota; Metazoa; Chordata; Mammalia; Rodentia; Sciuridae. The record is from RefSeq and is a predicted model, not a curated record.
AAUAGACCGAGAACUGCUGGGUCUGGAUCCAGGUGGGUUCCGCAGAGGCCAGAGUAAGCUCGCGGGGAAACCAGUUCUGCGGGUCCAGCCGGCAGCCAGAGGAUCUUUCUAAAACAUAAAUCUGGUCACAUGCUCUCACCCUUUGAUGCCUCAUGCCCUGCUCUCAGGAUAAAGCUCCAGAUCCUGGACAUGGCCUUUCAAUCAGCUCUACUGUAAGUCUGUCCUGAUCAUGGAGAGCCCAGGUCUGGCACCACUAGGCAUUCAGCGAAUGUCUGCUGAACGACUCUGGGUGACUGAGAACUUCUGGGCCUGGUACACAACAGCAAUUACCAACCCACACACUCCCUGCCUGAAAAGGCUGAGGGCAGCCAUCUUUCUGCCUUCACUGGCCAGAAAUGGGGUGUCCCUAUGUUGCCCAGGCUGGCCCCAAACUCCUGAGCUCAAAGGAUCUUCCUGCCUCAGCCUCCUGAAGAGUUGGGACAAGAGACACAUGCCGCCAUGUGCUCAGACUGAGGUUCUGUAUUUCUGAAAUGCUUUUGGAUCUUGCCAUUAGCGCUGGUUGGAGGACCACACUUUGAAAAGUAAAGCUUUAGAAGUCAUUUGAUGAAUUCUCAUUGCACCUGAUUUAUAGAUGAAGAAAGAAGGAAGUCUGGAGAGAGACUCUAAACUCUUCUUGCAUUUAAGCCAGAGCUGCUGAGUCCAGCCCUCCCUCCACUGCAUCCCGAGGCCCCUUUACUGUCCGUGCCACCUCUGUCAUUGAGGAACUCAAAACUCCCAUUUCCCCAUUCCCACUGAUCUUUGCUCAAGGUGUCCCUUUGGUCACUCCCUUACUCAAAACCUUCCGUAAUGGCUCUUCUGUAACUAAUCACAAGUUAAGUUCAAAUGUCUCUGUCUGUUUUCCGUGACCCUGUGACAUGUGGUCGAUCCCUUUUAGCAAACUUACCUAACUUCCCUAUUUUUAUUUUAUUUUAUUUUUGGUACUGGGAAUCGAAACCAGGGGUGCUCUACCACUGAGCUAUCUCCCCAGACCUUUUAAUUUUUUGAGUCAGGGCCUCUCUCAGGUGCCCGGCUGGCCUGGAAUUUGGAAUCCUCCUGCCCUCACCUCCUGAGCUGCUGGGAUUACAGGCCAGCAGCCCUUGCCUGUUUCUUAACGGUAUGGCUCUGUGGUCGCUAUCCCUGCUUCUUCCUGUUUUCUAAAUAUAUUGUGUUCAUUCCCCGCUCAGCGGUAGAGACAAUGCCAAGGACUCUGGAGCCGGACAUACCUAGUUUCUAAUUCCAGAUCAGCCUCCAGCAGGGACAAGCUACUUCAUCUUUCUGAAGAUUAGCAUCCUCUUCUGAAAUAAUCCCCUAAGGGGAUUGAAAGGAAUAAAUGAA